This 381-nucleotide unclassified non-coding RNA is filed under the name soil metagenome. Its description in RNAcentral is "partial contains 5.8S ribosomal RNA, internal transcribed spacer 2, and large subunit ribosomal RNA". The stretch from base 1 to 120 matches the Rfam family "5.8S ribosomal RNA", at positions 35 to 154 of the family's 154-position model. The record is from RNAcentral.
GAUGAAGAACGUAGCGAAAUGCGAUAAGUAAUGUGAAUUGCAGAAUUCAGUGAAUCAUCGAAUCUUUGAACGCACCUUGCACCCUUUGGCAUUCCGAAGGGUAUGCUCGUUUGAGUGUCAUUGUACUCUCACUCUCCCGAUCUUUGGAUCGGGAGUGGUGGACUUGGGUGUUGCUGCUUUACCGUGGCUCACCUCAAAUGGAUUCGUGCAACUCCUGGUUGGACAUAGUACGGCGUGAUAAGUGUCUUCGCCGGCACCUCAUAAGAGGGUGGCCGAUCAGGAGCUCUGUGCUUUCAAACUGUCUUCGGACAAUCUCUGACAACUUGACCUCAAAUCGAGUAGGACUACCCGCUGAACUUAAGCAUAUCAAUAAGCGGAGGA